AUUGAACGCUGGCGGAAUGCUUUACACAUGCAAGUCGAACGGCAGCACGGGGGCAGCCCUGGUGGCGAGUGGCGAACGGGUGAGUAAUACAUCGGAACGUGCCCGGUCGUGGGGGAUAACGUAGCGAAAGUUACGCUAAUACCGCAUACGAUCUGAGGAUGAAAGCGGGGGACCUUCGGGCCUCGCGCGAUCGGAGCGGCCGAUGUCAGAUUAGGUAGUUGGUGGGGUAAAGGCCUACCAAGCCGACGAUCUGUAGCUGGUCUGAGAGGACGACCAGCCACACUGGGACUGAGACACGGCCCAGACUCCCACGGGAGGCAGCAAGUGGGAAUUUUGGACAAAGGGCGGAAGCCUGGUCCAGGCAAUCCGGCUUGAGGAAGAAAGGCUUCGGGGUGGAAAACGGCUUUUGUAGGGAACAAAAAGGUCCGGGCAAAACCUGGGGCUCAUGACGGUACCGUAAGAAUAAGCACCGGCUAACUACGUG
RNAcentral lists this ribosomal RNA (484 nucleotides) under uncultured bacterium. RNAcentral describes it as "partial 16S ribosomal RNA". It matches the Rfam family "Bacterial small subunit ribosomal RNA", at positions 29 to 507 of the family's 1533-position model. The record is from RNAcentral.